GUGGCGAACGGGUGAGUAACACGUGAGUAACCUGCCCUUAACUCUGGGAUAAGCCUGGGAAACUGGGUCUAAUACCGGAUAGGAGCGUCCACCGCAUGGUGGGUGUUGGAAAGAUUUAUCGGUUUUGGAUGGACUCGCGGCCUAUCAGCUUGUUGGUGAGGUAAUGGCUCACCAAGGCGACGACGGGUAGCCGGCCUGAGAGGGUGACCGGCCACACUGGGACUGAGACACGGCCCAGACUCCUACGGGAGGCAGCAGUGGGGAAUAUUGCACAAUGGGCGAAAGCCUGAUGCAGCGACGCCGCGUGAGGGAUGACGGCCUUCGGGUUGUAAACCUCUUUCAGUAGGGAAGAAGCGAAAGUGACGGUACCUGCAGAAGAAGCACCGGCUAACUACGUGCCAGCAGCCGCGGUAAUAC
This 417-nucleotide ribosomal RNA is filed under the name Micrococcus sp. K49D024. RNAcentral describes it as "bacterial SSU rRNA". It matches the Rfam family "Bacterial small subunit ribosomal RNA", at positions 95 to 526 of the family's 1533-position model. Lineage: Bacteria; Bacillati; Actinomycetota; Actinomycetes; Micrococcales; Micrococcaceae. The record is from RNAcentral.